GAUGAACGCUGGCGGCGUGCCUAAUACAUGCAAGUCGAGCGAACAGACGAGGAGCUUGCUCCUCUGACGUUAGCGGCGGACGGGUGAGUAACACGUGGAUAACCUACCUAUAAGACUGGGAUAACUUCGGGAAACCGGAGCUAAUACCGGAUAAUAUAUUGAACCGCAUGGUUCAAUAGUGAAAGACGGUUUUGCUGUCACUUAUAGAUGGAUCCGCGCCGCAUUAGCUAGUUGGUAAGGUAACGGCUUACCAAGGCAACGAUGCGUAGCCGACCUGAGAGGGUGAUCGGCCACACUGGAACUGAGACACGGCCCAGACUCCUACGGGAGGCAGCAGUAGGGAAUCUUCCGCAAUGGGCGAAAGCCUGACGGAGCAACGCCGCGGGAGUGAUGAAGGUCUUCGGAUCGUAAAACUCUGUUAUUAGGGAAGAACAAAUGUGUAAGUAACUAUGCACGUCUUGACGGUACCUAAUCAGAAAGCCACGGCUAACUACGUG
This 497-nucleotide ribosomal RNA is filed under the name uncultured bacterium. RNAcentral's name for it is "partial 16S ribosomal RNA". It matches the Rfam family "Bacterial small subunit ribosomal RNA", at positions 28 to 507 of the family's 1533-position model. The record is from RNAcentral.